Molecule: transfer RNA, 70 nt
Filed under: Candidatus Peregrinibacteria bacterium
Lineage: Bacteria; Candidatus Peregrinibacteriota
Also listed under: 1 other name
Description: tRNA-Thr
Source: RNAcentral
GGGGGCAGCGGGCGCCACCCAGGACUUGUCAAUCCAUGGGUGAGGAGUUCGACUCUCCUUGCCUCCACCA